Small nuclear RNA from Hyaena hyaena (striped hyena), 191 nucleotides. RefSeq annotates it as U2 spliceosomal RNA. NCBI's taxonomy places the organism in Eukaryota, Metazoa, Chordata, Mammalia, Carnivora, Hyaenidae. The transcript has a single exon. The record is from RefSeq and is a predicted model, not a curated record.
AUUGCUGCUGGGUCUUUUGGCUAAGAUCAAAUGUAGUAUUUGUUCUUGUCAGUUUAAUAUCUUGUAUGUCCUAUAUCAAAGGACCAUGUAUUAAGUGGGGUUUUGGAGCAGGGAGAUGGAAUAGGAGUUUGCUCUGUCCACUCCACCCAUUGACUUGGUAUUGCAGUACUUUCAGGAAUGGUGCCCUCCUU